GAUGAACGCUAGCGAUAGGCUUAACACAUGCAAGUCGAGGGGCAGCACAAGGUAGCUUGCUAUCUGGGUGGCGACCGGCGCACGGGUGCGUAACGCGUAUGCAACUUGCCCUAUACAGGAGGAUAACCCGUCGAAAGACGGACUAAUACUGCUUAUGCUCACAACUUGGCAUCAAGUGGUGAGGAAAGAAAUUCGGUAUAGGAUAGGCAUGCGUCCCAUUAGCUUGUUGGUGAGGUAACGGCUCACCAAGGCAACGAUGGGUAGGGGAACUGAGAGGUUUAUCCCCCACACUGGUACUGAGACACGGACCAGACUCCUACGGGAGGCAGCAGUGAGGAAUAUUGGUCAAUGGGCGCGAGCCUGAACCAGCCAAGUCGCGUGAAGGAUGACUGUCUUAUGGAUUGUAAACUUCUUUUAUACGGGAAUAACAAGAGUCACGUGUGACUCCCUGCAUGUACCGUAUGAAUAAGCAUCGGCUAACUCCGUG
This 487-nucleotide ribosomal RNA is filed under the name uncultured bacterium. RNAcentral describes it as "partial 16S ribosomal RNA". It matches the Rfam family "Bacterial small subunit ribosomal RNA", at positions 28 to 507 of the family's 1533-position model. The record is from RNAcentral.